This 1828-nucleotide long non-coding RNA is filed under the name Amphimedon queenslandica. RNAcentral describes it as "uncharacterized LOC109585164, transcript variant X2". The record is from RNAcentral. Lineage: Eukaryota; Metazoa; Porifera; Demospongiae; Haplosclerida; Niphatidae.
AGGAACAGUAUUCAUUUAUCGACAUAACCCAUACCACAUUGAUAGCAAACUACUCCCACUGUAUAAAGAUGGGUGUCAACCUUAAAAUGGGCACAGCCUACGAUAUUACCGGUAGAGUAAACAGCAUUUGGGGAUUACCCAGGGAAAACUCACGGCAAGCGAAGUAAAAGUAUUUAAAAAAAAACAAAAAAUUCCGACUUUCAAAACAGUCAUAAACAGAGUAGUAAUGAGCCUCAUCAUUUUAAACCAAAAUGCCAGGGUAAGCUAAUCUAUUACUUAGCUUUUAUCGUCUUCAAUAGAGGCAAUACAUCAAAUAAAGGAAGAAAUAUGGCCAUAGGUGCAUUGAUUGGAGGGGGAGCUGGAGCCACUGUAGGAUCAAUUGCUGGACCUCCUGGCACUCUGGUCGGUGGAUUGGUUGGAGCUGGUGUUGGUGCUGUUGUUGGGCUUAUAGCAUAAUAAUAAAUUCUUCUUAAAUAUACAUUAUGCUUGUGUUAUGUUCUUAAUAUUUUGGUUUCAUUUUUUACAAAGAGUAUGACAUAAGAUGAAUGUACUAUACAAAUGUAUGGUUCCAUCAUGAGGUUUAAAAACAAUGUGAUUUUCAAAGGUUUCCAAAAGAUUAAAGUGACAUUGUCGAGAGUCAUGCAAGCUUCCCCUAUCACGUGAGCAAUAUUAAAAUCAGCUGACACAAAUGAUAACAAAAUAUGCAAAGAGGAGGGAAAGCACCUUAGUUCAAGCAAUACAGAAGAAGAGACGCUGAAGAAACUAAUAAAGUACAAGGAAAAGAACUAGUAUUUUGAUAACAGCAAGCCAUUAAAAUGCCACCUCGCAAGAAUAAAAGAAACUACACCAAAUGUGAAAAGUUCUUGAUACGUAUAACAUGUGGUUUGGCUUCUUACUGCAUUUAACAAAAGCAGAACCUAUAACAGUGUCAUGGGGUCCUGAUAAUAUGAAUGCUGAUAAAAAAUAUCAGUGCUUAUAACUUUUAUAUGAUUUUUUUAUCCUUGCUGCUAUUUUAUAAUUGUAACAAAAGUUUUGCAUUAGUCAAAAUUUCAUGCUCAAGUUAAAUUGUUUCUGGCAGCUACUGCACAAAUGAUAUUGAAUUUCUAGCAAUGAAAGAAUACACAUGCAAUCAGGUUCUAGCACAAACACAGACACAAUCUCUCAAAUACAACACACACGUACACAGUAAGUACAUGUACAUGUAACAACAUACAAAAAAGAGCUAUCAUAAAAUGCAACUACCAAGUACUGUAUAAAGACCAUUACAGGAACAGUAUUCAUUUAUCGACACAACCUAUACCACAUUGGUAGCAAACUACUCCCACUGUAUAAAGAUGGGUGUCAACUUUAAAAUGGGCACAGCCUACGAUAUUACCGGUAAAGUAAACAGCAUUAGGGGAUUACCCAGGGAAAACUCUCGCCAACGAAGUGAUAAUAUUAAUAAUUAGAAAAGAAACCAGUUGGCUCAAAAAAUUAGCUGGCCAUAAGCAGAGUAAGGAAGCCUGCCAUUACUAACUAAGAGAAUAAAAAUGAGUGGAAACACAUCAAAUGAAGGAAGAGACAUAGCCAUAGGCGCUGGGGUUGGAGCAGUAACUGGAGUAGGAGGUGUUGCUGCUGGGAUACAAACUGGAGCUGUUGUAGGAUCAUUUGCUGGUCCAGUUGGGUUUGUGGUUGGUGGAGCAGUCGGAGCUGGUGUUGGUGCCAUUGUUGGAUUCUUUGCAUCAAAAUGAUAUCAAAUAUAAUAUGUAUCUGUGUUGCUCUUGAUUGUGUUACCAUUGCUUAGUACAAUGUGUAUAUGCUUAGCAUUUAAAUUAUCUUUUCAAAUGAA